Molecule: ribosomal RNA, 559 nt
Filed under: Cytobacillus firmus
Lineage: Bacteria; Bacillati; Bacillota; Bacilli; Caryophanales; Bacillaceae
Description: bacterial SSU rRNA
Rfam family: Bacterial small subunit ribosomal RNA
Source: RNAcentral
AUCUACGGGGACCAGCAGUAGGGAAUCUUCCGCAAUGGACGAAAGUCUGACGGAGCAACGCCGCGUGAGUGAUGAAGGUUUUCGGAUCGUAAAACUCUGUUGUCAGGGAAGAACAAGUACCGGAGUAACUGCCGGUACCUUGACGGUACCUGACCAGAAAGCCACGGCUAACUACGUGCCAGCAGCCGCGGUAAUACGUAGGUGGCAAGCGUUGUCCGGAAUUAUUGGGCGUAAAGCGCGCGCAGGCGGUUCCUUAAGUCUGAUGUGAAAGCCCCCGGCUCAACCGGGGAGGGUCAUUGGAAACUGGGGAACUUGAGUGCAGAAGAGAAGAGUGGAAUUCCACGUGUAGCGGUGAAAUGCGUAGAGAUGUGGAGGAACACCAGUGGCGAAGGCGACUCUUUGGUCUGUAACUGACGCUGAGGCGCGAAAGCGUGGGGAGCAAACAGGAUUAGAUACCCUGGUAGUCCACGCCGUAAACGAUGAGUGCUAAGUGUUAGAGGGUUUCCGCCCUUUAGUGCUGCAGCAAACGCAUUAAGCACUCCGCAUGGGAGAGGCCAAC